Molecule: signal recognition particle RNA, 145 nt
Filed under: Otolemur garnettii (small-eared galago)
Lineage: Eukaryota; Metazoa; Chordata; Mammalia; Primates; Galagidae
Description: Metazoan signal recognition particle RNA
Rfam family: Metazoan signal recognition particle RNA
About the family: The signal recognition particle (SRP) is a universally conserved ribonucleoprotein. It is involved in the co-translational targeting of proteins to membranes.
Source: Rfam by way of RNAcentral
GCCGGGCGUUGUGGCGGGCGCCUGUGGUCCCAGCUACUUGGGAGGCGGAGGCAGGAGACUCGCUUGAGCCCAGGAGUUGGAGGUUGCUGUGAGCUGUAAUGCCACGGCACUCUACCCAGGGCAACACAGUAAGACUCUGUCUCUU